ACAAAACGCACAUUUUCUUAGUUCUCAAAAGAAUUUCGAAUAAGUUGAAAAAGAUCCGAAAAUUACAAGUGUCACUCCAGUUAUAUAAAUCAAUAUCUUUAAAAAAUGAAAUUGAUUUUUUUACUGUUCACUUUUGUGCCAUUGUUUGUCGCGAUAGAGAACGAAACAUAUUUUGGCAAACUGUUGGAGUCUGAUUUGCCAAAAUUCUGUUUUCAUGCAUCUAUUUUACUUGAAGAGGGAGAUACUCGUUGCAACGGAGCAAUAAUCUCUUCCACGCAAAUUCUAACUUUCUUCAAAUGUAUAAGAUAUUGGGAUUGUCCUCCUAGAGAAGGUCCCUCUCAUUGAUAUGAGUCAAAAAAUAUAUCGGUGCGAGUCGGUUCAUUAGAACGAUUUAAUGGGGGAAUUAUUAGACAAGUAGCCAGUUUUAAACACUUACCCUAUCAACUUAACGAUCAUAUAGCAGAAAGCAGUUGGUACAAAGAAAGCACUCGAAUUGAAUUUGAAGAUGUGGCAAGCCUUGAUUUGAUUGUGUUUACACUCAAAGAGCCAUUACCAUUGGGUCCAACGAUUUGCCCAAUACGUUUAGCCGAAAAGAGAGACAACAUUUUUGUAAAAAUUGGAGCCAAUGUUGAAAUUAUUGGCUGUGAUACCAGCAAAAAAGAAGCAACAAAAACCAGAGAGUUGCAUUGGAUAAAAAAAACGAUAUCCAAUGUCACUGAAACAUGUCCCCGAUUCUAUUUCCCUAGAGAAGGCAUAUUAUAUAAUAUAGAGGGAGCUCCGUUGAUUGUUAGAAGAAAAAACAAUUUAUUUCCUAACGGAGAACCAUUGCUAUUAGGAAUAGUGUCAGAUGGUGACACAAUUUACACAUCGUAUAACGGAGCUGUAAAAAUUUCGGCAUUUUCCAGAUAUAUAAUGGGAAACGAAACGAUGCCUAUGGGUAGAUGCUGAAAAACUCAUUCAAAGAUUAAUUCUAAUAAAUAGGUUAAAUUUAUUAAUAUUAUUAUUAUCAACAUUUGAUUAUGUACGAAAUUUUUGUCGUUUCAACUCCGCGUAAAAAAUUUUUCUAUUAGGUUGUUAUACCAUAUCGUACCAACUCAAUAAAAAAGAAUUUUAACGAUUGUAUAU
Long non-coding RNA from Contarinia nasturtii (swede midge), 1125 nucleotides. RefSeq lists it as uncharacterized. The record is from RefSeq and is a predicted model, not a curated record. The transcript is spliced from 3 exons. NCBI's taxonomy places the organism in Eukaryota, Metazoa, Arthropoda, Insecta, Diptera, Cecidomyiidae.